AGUGAACGCUGGCGGUAGGCCUAACACAUGCAAGUCGAACGGCAGCACAGUAAGAGCUUGCUCUUACGGGUGGCGAGUGGCGGACGGGUGAGGAAUACAUCGGAAUCUACUUUUUCGUGGGGGAUAACGUAGGGAAACUUACGCUAAUACCGCAUACGACCUACGGGUGAAAGCAGGGGAUCUUCGUGCCUUGCGCGAUUGGAUGAGCCGAUGUCGGAUUAGCUAGUUGGCGGGGUAAAGGCCCACCAAGGCGACGAUCCGUAGCUGGUCUGAGAGGAUGAUCAGCCACACUGGAACUGAGACACGGUCCAGACUCCUACGGGAGGCAGCAGUGGGGAAUAUUGGACAAUGGGCGCAAGCCUGAUCCAGCCAUACCGCGUGGGUGAAGAAGGCCUUCGGGUUGUAAAGCCCUUUUGUUGGGAAAGAAAAGCAGCAGGUUAAUACCCCGCUGUUCUGACGGUACCCAAAGAAUAAGCACCGGCUAACUUCGUG
This 492-nucleotide ribosomal RNA is filed under the name uncultured bacterium. RNAcentral's name for it is "partial 16S ribosomal RNA". It matches the Rfam family "Bacterial small subunit ribosomal RNA", at positions 29 to 507 of the family's 1533-position model. The record is from RNAcentral.